Molecule: long non-coding RNA, 1389 nt
Filed under: Ananas comosus (pineapple)
Lineage: Eukaryota; Viridiplantae; Streptophyta; Magnoliopsida; Poales; Bromeliaceae
Description: long non-coding RNA (ACOM_LNC033708)
Source: RNAcentral
CAACCCCACUUUUCUUUCCGGCUACCUGUUCCUCGUACUCGUCCUCUUCCCUCAUCUCUCUCUCUUUUCCUUCAUUUUCCGAUCGGUCUCCGCGAUCGGUUUUGGAGGAGCAGCAAUGUUGAGCUCGCCAUUGACGAGGCUUCGCGAGCACGACUGGUACUCCCGAUCCUCAUCCCGAUCCUACGUUCACGUAAGCAAAUCCCUCUCUUUCCCUCGAUCUCUCUCUCCUUCUCAAACGUAAUAUCCGCCAAUAAUUUAAGGAUAAAUUAAAUUUACUAUCAAUGCAUUUUCUCAAAUAUUUUUUUCUAACAUAUUAUUAACUAUUUAUGUGUUUUCUCAAAUAUUUUUUUUCUAACAUACCCACAAUUUUUUCUUUCUCAAAUGUAAUACCAGUCAAUCACGUAAUAGUUAAAAUUAAAUUUUAAUUUUUGAAUUAAGUAUGAAUUAAAUCUACUAUUUAAAUAUUUUCUCAAAUAUUUUCUUUCUAACAUACCCGCAAAAAUUUUUUUUUCUCAAACGUAAUACCCCCAAUCACGUAGUACUCAAAAUUUAUUUUAAAUUUUGAUUAAAUCUACUAUCAACACCAUCUACGCGUUUUUUUAAAUAUUUUUUUUUCUAAAACAUAAUACCUGAAAAUCAUGUAGUACUCAAAUUAAAUUUAAAGUUUUGAAUUAAGCAUGAAUUAAAUUUACUAUCUACGCGUUUUUUCAAAUAUUUUCUUUCUAACAUACCCCCAAUCUUCUUUCACGUAAUGCCAGCCAAAAUUUAAUACCUCCAAUUUGAUAAUUUAAAAUUUAGGAAUAAUUGCCCAUAUACCCCUCAAAACUUCGAAAUUAUCUCAUUUAUCCUUAAUUCAAAAUUAUAAUUCAAAAUUCUAGUCACUAAAUAGUCGAAAAUUUUAAUUUUAUACAUAAAUUAUAGUAAUACAAGAAUAAAAUUAUAAAGUAAAAAAAUUAUUAAUACUUAAUUAAUCAAUUUCUAUCAUAUUUUAAUUGUACAAACUAAAUAAAAAAAUAUUAAAAUUUAAUUAAUCAAUUUCUAUCAUAUUUUAAUUGUACAAACUAAAUAAAAAAAUAUUAAAAUUUAAUUAAUCAAUUUUUAUCAUAUUUUAAAUAUGCCAACUAAAUAAAAGAGUAAUUAGUACCAUAAUUAAAUAUAUUUAAAUAUAACUAUCUUCACCUAGUAUAUUAUUUUAUUAUUUUUUCUUCACCUCCCUUCACCGUAAUUGACUUCAGCCCACGAUGGGUGGGCCGAAGUCAAUUACGACGUUUCAAGUUAACUCGAGUUUCGACCGUAAUAUUUUUACGGCGAACCAAAUAAUGGAAGAUAAAAUUUUAACAGGUCUAUUUUUAGAAUAAAAUUUUAGGAGAAGACUAUAGUACUAAAAAA